RNAcentral lists this ribosomal RNA (254 nucleotides) under uncultured bacterium. Its description in RNAcentral is "partial 16S ribosomal RNA". It matches the Rfam family "Bacterial small subunit ribosomal RNA", at positions 524 to 776 of the family's 1533-position model. The record is from RNAcentral.
CACGUAGGGGCCAAGCGUUGUCCGGAUUCAUUGGGCGUAAAGAGCUCGUAGGCGGUUCAGUUAGUCGGGUGUGAAAUCUCCGGGCUCAACCCGGAGGGGCCACCCGAUACUGCUGUGACUCGAGUCCGGUAGGGGAGUGGGGAAUUCCUGGUGUAGCGGUGAAAUGCGCAGAUAUCAGGAGGAACACCGGUGGCGAAGGCGCCACUCUGGGCCGGUACUGACGCUGAGGCGCGAAAGCGUGGGGAGCGAACAGG